CGCACUUUGUGGCACGUCGUCACGUUGAGACGAGCGUGACGCACAGUCGCUAGAGAAGGGCGUAUUGAAGAGGUUGGAGGAUGCUUAUUGUGUUGUUUGUGUAGCGUAGAAAUGACUCCAUCUUUUAGACUCUCAACUUUCUCGCUCUAAAACAUGAGAAAUGAUAUGAGAGAGAAACUUGUUUGCCCUUCAAUUUCCCUCUCGAUUCCUUCGCCUUUGCUUUCGAUCCUUUGCUAGAGAACCUUAUUCCUUUCUCUCUCCUAUGUUUAUCCCUUCAAAAUCCUUUUCUUUUCCUCCAUUAUCACUCUCUUCCUAGCCGUCAGGUGCACUUUGGUUUUGCAAACGAGUUCGUUGGUCACUAAAUUACUUCGAUUGUGAGCUGCUACUGUUUUUGGAAGUGUUCAAUGAGUGGUUCAAAGUUCAAAGUACUGUGUUUCAAAGAGCUGAUUUAAGUAUUAUGUAUGCAUUUUUUAUUGAUGUUUUCCUUUUUGAAGUAGCUGAUCAGUAAAAGAAGGAUAACUCAAAGGGGAUGGAAGGAUUGAUUUUUGGUAUAUGUAUAUAGAUGUAUACANCAAUAUGAACAAGUGCCUUUGUUUCUAUACCCAAUAUUUUGUUGUAUAAUAGCUGAGAGGACUNCUAGGAAGACGCUNUUGCACACUCUUUUUAAUGCAUUCUUGAGAUUCAUUAAAUAGGAAGACCUACAAAAUUAUGUUAUUUCCUAUAAAAUUCUGGUCAAAUAAUAGGAGNNUGUUCAAAAUAUNGGGUUAUUUGAGCANACUUUACAUUUCAGCUACUANUUUUGAAGUCUAUGAUGAAUAGUUAAAAUAGUUUGGCUAGAACAUAGUGCCUUGCAGCUUGAUCUAGAAUACAUAAAAUAAAAGUAACUUGUUGAAAUUUGAAGGAUAAGAUCACCAAUGUUGAUUCUUUGAUGGGAGUUCUGGAUGAUUAUUUUCUUUUAGGUUUCAAUUCAUACCACNAUUGGAGAAUGACCUUGUUUAGGAUUAUCUUCUUCAAACUCAAUAUUCAUUGGGUCUGAGUGUACAUGGUUCCAUUACUCCCUCAAAACAUAUAGUACUUAAGCACUGGUNGAAUUGGUUAGUGAGUAGAAAUAUAAGUGCUGGUACGAUAAACUUAUGCACUAAACUUGGUUACAAGUAUUUUGCACAAUGGUCUGACGGUCAGAUCACCUUUUACGAUGAACCGAAUGAGACAAAACUAGGUGACAUUGUCUGUAAUGAGGGGACUAAAUAGUAUGUAGGCAUCUUGGAGUAUCUCCAGCGGGAGGUUCUUACAUGAGGUCAUUGUGAUGAAAAAUAAUAUUUUCAUGUUUACAGUAUUAUUUUNUUAAUAAGGAACUCAUGCAAGCAAAUCCCGUUGGAGAUGCUCUUCAGGAAGACAAGUUCUUCUAUCUUGGUGACAUCCUCUGUAACGAGUCUACUCUCCAUUCUAAUAUAUUUUUUUUUAUAAAACCGAAAAGCACCUUACUACUGCAAUGGGUUGAGGUUCACUGCAGAAAAUGAAUAAAUAUAUGUUUGUGGAAUGUGUGGAAGAACCAGGUUUUCUGUUCAUUCUUGUUCAGCUUUCAUGGGGAACAUGACAGUUGGAGGAAAUACUGGUUUGGUCAUCAUUUUUUAUCUCUUGUUUGUCAACGCUUACAAGCAUUGUGGGUAUACCCACACAAUUGCAACUAGAGACCGUUUUAUUUUAUUUUGAAUAAUUUUUAAAUCCAACGACUGAUUUCUGCAAGAUUACAUGAAAAAUAUAUGAAUGCGUUUGUUGUUUGAAAACCUGAUGUGUCUGGAUCGAUUU
Molecule: RNA transcript, 1809 nt
Organism: Vigna radiata var. radiata (mung bean)
Lineage: Eukaryota; Viridiplantae; Streptophyta; Magnoliopsida; Fabales; Fabaceae
Exons: 3
Source: RefSeq, a predicted model, not a curated record